UUGUCGUAGAUGGCGUGAGUGAAAGCCUGGCCGCGCUAUCACUCUCCAUGGGAUGACGUAUUUUUUUGCGCACGAACCCUGCCGCAUUUUUCCCGAAACAGCGGAUUUUGUCUUCAGGGUCGGCAUGAAGGAGGCAAAGGGUUUCGGACGGUUGGCGCCAUGAACGGUCAAGAGAGCCGCGGCGCCGCAGAAAGGCAAAUCGCCCAUACGUCGAAGGCCUGCUGCGCUGCUUCUAAUGAUGAUAAAAUAGUAUUAUACAAAUUAAUUGUGUGAAUGAUGACAAUGAUGAGGGAUUGGCUGAAGAGUGUCAGGCCUAGCAGCGGUCUUCACGACGGUGGAUUUUGCGGGGCCGCCACGGCCUGCUGACUUAUAGCAGUCAGUCUCAAGCGUCUGGCGAGGGUUCCCUGCUUGCCGGGUAUACAGACGAUCCGGCCAAAUUUCCGGUGACGAAGGAAGUCCAGCACCCCCGUGGUGGAGCUCCAGGGGUUGGCGCCGGUGUUGGCUGGCGGUGGUCUUCGCGAAAGCGGGUCUUGGUGUAUAUGCCAGUUUGCGGUCGAGCUUGUGACCGAACAGGUAGGCAUCCUGUCGGUUGGCUCUUUGACGAUGAAAAAAGAACACGUCUACGCUCCGCUGGCUUCGUCUUGUUUUUCACAACUCUUGGCAGCACGAAGGACUGCUUGCGUGGCGGUCUGCUCGUGGAAAACCUUGCUAAAUGCCAGCUGUCGCGCUCCGGGUAAGUGACAGACCCGUUUCAAAAUCCCAUCAAGCAACGUUGGCGCUCGAGAGCUUAGCUGACGCGAUGGAUGGUAUACUUCAUUUGUCGUCUCUGUAAGAACAUUGAGGUCGGUUUCACGAGGGCAGAAGGAGAGUGGGCGGCUAAGUUUG
Ixodes scapularis (black-legged tick) is the source of this 885-nucleotide long non-coding RNA. RefSeq lists it as uncharacterized. NCBI's taxonomy places the organism in Eukaryota, Metazoa, Arthropoda, Arachnida, Ixodida, Ixodidae. The record is from RefSeq and is a predicted model, not a curated record. The transcript is spliced from 3 exons.